UGUUCCCUGCUGUGUUCGACCGGGCUCUAAUUUUCCGAACCGAUAGCUUCCUUAGGUUGCGGCCCCUAGCGUCACCGUUGUGAUCGUCCCGCCUCCGGGCGCCGGACGAACCUGAGGUGACCGGUAAGCGACCACCCUUGCAAGCGCAGGGUUCGGGAGCAGAGCCCACCGGCAUGCGCGGGGGACAC
Molecule: non-coding RNA, 188 nt
Filed under: Betaproteobacteria bacterium
Lineage: Bacteria; Pseudomonadati; Pseudomonadota; Betaproteobacteria
Description: 6S RNA
Rfam family: 6S / SsrS RNA
About the family: E. coli 6S RNA was the first non coding RNA to be sequenced, but its function was unknown until recently. It consists of 184 nucleotides that fold into an extended hairpin structure with a large single-stranded internal bulge.
Source: RNAcentral